Molecule: long non-coding RNA, 1254 nt
Filed under: Capsicum annuum
Lineage: Eukaryota; Viridiplantae; Streptophyta; Magnoliopsida; Solanales; Solanaceae
Description: long non-coding RNA (CANN_LNC012200)
Source: RNAcentral
AGGUAUUAGGCACCUCUCGAGCCCGUGGUUCAACCACGGUCGCUUGGUAGAGUGUAUCGACUAUUUGGCACUAAGAAAUGUAUGAACCUCACAAGAAGCACGCAACAUAAUCAAACAAAACAAAACACCCCAAAAUGUAAAGUCCAGUCCAAUUAUUACAACCCGAAAUAAAAGGGACUGAAAGUAAACCUACACUAAUCCUGAACUAAUGCUCUACCUGACGCCUUGAGCCUUCACCAUGAACGUCCUCCGGGUACAUCAUACCUCGGGGCAUUACUUCAGGGCAUUCCCCGGCCAAAUUAUACAAUUGAUUCAAAAGCUAAAAUCAAAUCAUUCAAUCAAAUUUCAAACACUCAAUCAACCCACAGUCUCUAGAUUUGCCUACCCGACCUACGUCUUGCCUAUUCCAAUCAGCGUAUCUUGAUACUACCAAAUUCAAUUAACGUUUAUUUCAAGUCAAACAAUUAAUGAAUCAAACUAAUCAAAGUUUAUUAAUUAUAUCAAGUUUUCAAUUCUCGCCCACUUAUUCCCACAUGAAUUCAACUCUUUCAAUUCCUUCAUUCACGUAAAUCAAUCAAUCAAUAUCAACCACAGUAAUCGCGAUUUCUCAAACACAAUAUCGAAACAUACCACCACAUCAGAAUCAUCAACCAAACACAAUAUUCACUCCAACACAUCAAAUAUAAUAAGCAGAACCGAACACAACCACGAUUUCGAUGGACGUUGCCGGAAUCCGAUUGCACCACCCUCCUUCUCAGUUGGUUCCCCUUUAUGCUUUGCUCCCAAUCUUUCGAUCCCUCUCUCUGUUUUGAUCUCUCUCUCACUCGAAUCUCUCUUUCUCCGAUCUUUCUUAAUCUCCCUCCAUUUUUCUCCUUUCCGAUUGUGUGUGUGCGAUGAAUUGUGAAGGGAAUCUGUGUUGUUGUUGUUAUCUGGGUGAGUCUCGAUGUUGGUGAUAGAGUGUCUAAUAGAAAAUGGUCGAUUCUCGAUGUGUGCCUGAAGUGUGUGUAUAUAAGCUGUGUUAAUGGUGAGAGCUCUCUUCUCUCUCUUGAGUGUGUGCGUAUUCUUCUGUGUAUGUUAUCUGAUGGAUCUUCCCCUCUUUUUUUUGCCAGCCAUCUGUGUGUGUAUACCACUAUGUGGGUGUAUAGGUUUCCGAUCAGGUAUGUGAUAUGUUCAGUGAGAGAAUAUGUAGAUGAGAGGAUGGAUUUUUUUUUUGUGUGUCCCCAAUUGUUGUAUGGUGAAUCCUGUAUAUCUGUG